RNAcentral lists this ribosomal RNA (253 nucleotides) under uncultured bacterium. Its description in RNAcentral is "partial 16S ribosomal RNA". It matches the Rfam family "Bacterial small subunit ribosomal RNA", at positions 524 to 776 of the family's 1533-position model. The record is from RNAcentral.
UACGUAGGUGGCGAGCGUUAUCCGGAAUUACUGGGCGUAAAGGGUGUGUAGGCGGGACUGCAAGUCAGAUGUGAAAAUUACGGGCUCAACCCGUAAACUGCAUUUGAAACUGUGGUUCUUGAGAGCCGGAGAGGUAAAUGGAAUUCCCAGUGUAGCGGUGAAAUGCGUAGAUAUUGGGAGGAACACCAGUGGCGAAGGCGAUUUACUGGACGGCAACUGACGCUGAGACACGAAAGUGUGGGGAGCAAACAGG